This 98-nucleotide transfer RNA is filed under the name Schizophyllum commune Tattone D. Its description in RNAcentral is "tRNA-Asp". Lineage: Eukaryota; Fungi; Basidiomycota; Agaricomycetes; Agaricales; Schizophyllaceae. The record is from RNAcentral. RNAcentral also lists the same sequence under 1 other name.
UCCUCGGUAGUAUAUCGGCUAGUACACCCGCCUGUCAUGUACUGUAAAAGACCGGAUACGUUUCGCGGGAGAGCGGGGUUCGACUCCCCGCCGAGGAG